UUGCUUCAUAGAAGUCUUCAAUGUCACUUUUUAUUAAUUUAAUGCAUCCUUGUGGAACAAAAGUAUUACGUAUACCCACAAAUAUAUGAAGCAGCACAACUGUUUUCAACAUUUAUAUAAAUCAGAAAUGUCCCUUAAGCAUCAAAUCAACAUAUCAGUGUCAUAAUUCCUGUAAUAAUGCAAUAGUUUCUGUUCUUUGUUCAGUUCUUGUCCUUGUUUGUUCCUGUGGUUUCCACUGUUUGUCUCUUUGACGAUUAAUGCACCAGUCUCUUUUCCAGUUUGCAAACAUGACAAACUUUCGUCAUAAACAUAACAACUGAAGUGAUUUCUGCAGGAUCGCGUGACACUGGAGACAUGAUGCUAAAAAUUCAGGAAUUACGUACAAUUCAAAAAUCAUUAUUUGCUGUUUUUACUGUUUCUUUUUUGCAGCCCGGUUAAAAUCGUGACAAAUGACACACAGUCUUUUUGCUCUGAGUUUUAACUCAUUUAUUUGUAUGCAUUUUUCAGAAAGCAAGACUUAAUAUCUUAAGCCAUUCUCUAGAGGUGGUGUUUGUGCAAGAAAAGCAAAACAUGCUCGUCAGACUUGUCUCUCCUCUCGCUCGGUUCAGUGCCAGUGCUUUUGUUUUUCCAUCUCUCCAACAGGAGGGUCAUCGGCUGGUCAGGUCCAAAUGAGAAAUAUUUGGCUCGUUCCUCUGGCGGCCGCUCAGAUCCAGCCUUUUACUGUUUCUCCCGCAGCGAACGAUGCCAAAGUGGAUGUUCUCUGAUGGACUGGAGUGCUGUGGAUUAUUGUGAUGUUUUUAUCAGA
Carassius auratus (goldfish) is the source of this 805-nucleotide long non-coding RNA. RefSeq lists it as uncharacterized. The transcript is spliced from 3 exons. The record is from RefSeq and is a predicted model, not a curated record. NCBI's taxonomy places the organism in Eukaryota, Metazoa, Chordata, Actinopteri, Cypriniformes, Cyprinidae.